This 253-nucleotide ribosomal RNA is filed under the name uncultured bacterium. Its description in RNAcentral is "partial 16S ribosomal RNA". It matches the Rfam family "Bacterial small subunit ribosomal RNA", at positions 524 to 776 of the family's 1533-position model. The record is from RNAcentral.
GACGUAGGGGGCCAGCGUUGCUCGGAAUUACUGGGUGUAAAGGGUUCGUAGGCGGUGCGGCAAGUCGGGAGUGAAAUCUCUGGGCUCAACCCAGAGGCUGCUUCCGAAACUGCUGUGCUUGAGUGUGGGAGAGGCGCGUGGAAUUGCAGGUGUAGCGGUGAAAUUCGUAGAUAUUCGCAAGAACACCAGUGGCGAAGGCGGCGCGCUGGACCACUACUGACGCUGAGGAACGAAAGCUAGGGGAGCAAACAGG